Molecule: long non-coding RNA, 2423 nt
Organism: Chenopodium quinoa (quinoa)
Lineage: Eukaryota; Viridiplantae; Streptophyta; Magnoliopsida; Caryophyllales; Amaranthaceae
Exons: 2
Source: RefSeq, a predicted model, not a curated record
UAGUGUACAAUAACUUUAUUAAGAAUAUAUAUUUACAAGAUAAUUAAAUUAGAUAGCAUGAUUUAGCCAUGACCCUGAUCAGACCUCAACCCUCACGUUUUUAUUUUUUUUCGGUAAUUGCAGGCUAGACACUUGUGAGUAGAGAGGAGGGUAAAGAAAUCCCUACUCCCAAGUACCCUCAUUUGGUAGGAUUCGAACCCCAAACCUCUAGGAUCCACAGUAAGAACGUUACCAAGUGAGUCAACACUUUGUUGGUGACUAAAUUUAAUUGGCUUCCAAAUCCAAGUUAUUACUAUAACAAUUUAGUUUUCAUUAUUAUAAUUUUUUUUUUUUUUUUAUAUUUUUUUUUUAACAUUUGUUGAAGUUAAACAAUGGAGAUUGCCCGUAAAAGAAAUAAAAUACAGAGAAUGAAACUGUUACAGUAUUUUACUAUUUUUCCCCCUUUCGCUUCAUACUCACUCGCGCGGCUUUCCCACUACUCCAUAACUUCUCCUUUCUCCUGCAUAGCUUCUUCUUCCAAAAUUUCAAUCAGAAUUGCUUUUUGUUCAUGAAGAAUGAUGUGAAAUUCAGCAAAUGUGGCUUUAUCGAGGUUUAAAGGUUAAGGUUCAGAUUGUGGGGUUUGCAAUCAACGGAGAAAGAUAUUCUGAUUGAUAGUAUUAAUGAGUUUGUUUUUCUUCCUUUUUAACGUUAUUUUGUUUGAUUAAUGUUUAACAAGUGAGUAGUUAGUCUUGGAGCAAUCAAUGCUGACAGGAUAUAGUAUGAGGAAUUUUUUCACAAUGAAGUAGAUUGAACAAAAUUAAGGGGUGAGACAGGACUGUAGUAAAUAUAUGCCCGAUGAGUUCGGUUUGGUUAAUGGGCUCGUGAUGAUCCUGAUUUUGUUAUUAUCUGUAACCUUCUCUUAAUUAGUAGUUUUGACUUUGGCCUAUUGUGCUGCUUGCGUAAGUCACUUAAACUCUAACUUCUACUUUUCUUUUGCCAAUAGUCAGGUAAAUCUAAUGCUUGUCUCUUCCAAGUUUUUAAAAUUUUAUGUUUUAUGUUUUUCUUAAUUAAAAUUUGCUAUUUUGGGAUUAUCUAUCCGAUCAAUGAAUAUUGUGUGAUGCUAUUGGUGAAUGUCUUGCUAUCUUAUGUGUUUUGUCACCAUGUCUGCUGAGUUCUUUUUUCCCUUUGUUGUUGAAAUUGUUUGCAAUACAAUCAGAAACAGAGAAUACUGAUAUUUGUCACAAAAAUACCAAAAUAGCAUUGUAAGUUGUAACUAAAAAAAAAAAAGAACUUACAAUUAUCUUUGGGCUGGAAUUGAAUAUUGUAAUUAGAUGUUAUAGCUAUAGUGAUGGAUUGUGAUGGCUGAUGUAGUAAUGUAAUGAAUUUUGUGUGAUACAAAGUAAUGUAUCUUUGGGUAAAUUUGGGAAAUAUUAUAUUGCACAUUGAUAUAUUGCAUGAAAGAUAUUUGAUUUAGUGGUCAUUGGUCUGAUAUGUUUUGUGAAGCAUUUAGAAUAGUUCGUAAAUGGUCUCCUUUGGACUAACUUCAGUAUGGUUUGUAGCAGCUAUAGCUUCUUUAUUCGUAAGGUUUUUACCUAGAAAUGAGUUUAACUGCGGAUAACUAGAUCUCUGUCUGUUACUCUAGCAAUGGAUGCGUUAUACUACCUCCUUUUGUGCAGCACCUAUCACAACUUUUUCAUGUGAAUCUAAGUAGAUGACUGCCGUGUCUGUAAUAAUCUUUCUCAGCUUCCAUGUCUUCUAAAUAGAUGACUGCCAUGUCUGUAAUCAAACCUCCUGUUUUCUUAUUUGUAGCAAUUUGGCAGAAUAGAUGACUGCAUGAACUUUCAUUUAGCUUCUUUUCUAAUUGUUUAUAGUUCUUGAGAGUGAAAGUGGCUCUUUAGUCUGACUAAAUGCAAUCUUAUAAAAGUGUGAUAUGUGCUACCUGGACUUGAAUUCUGGUCCAAAGUACUUAUAAAUAGAAAUUCUCAGAAUUUGACCAAGUAGAAUUUGAUGUUUUGUAAUGUACAAGAGUGUAUUUUUACAUUCUUUCUUAGUGUACUAUAUAUGCUACUCCGUGAGUAGCAAAACUUUGUAACAUUGGCUCAUACAUAUCUUAAUAUAUGCAAAUAUGUUUCUCCUGAAAUUGCAGUGAAUUAAAUUUCGGACUUAUGACAUAACUGAAGAAAGCGCAUACUAGCUGAAAUUGAAGAAAUUCGUGUUGUGCAGUGUGCAGAGUAAGCAAUGUGUGUUAGUUGUUCCAAGGUUUGCCACUGUUUUUGUAGUUGGGCGAUGCUGCUGCUCUGUUGGGAACUGCUGCUGCUUUGCUUGUUGCUACUCCAAUUGUAGUGUACUUUAAUUGACUAAUUGUAUUUUUUUUUUUCCAUUUUUUUUGAGUGAAUAGUGUAAAUUUACAAGCUAUUAAUGAAGAUAUUUAAGUUUUAUGUGUA